Molecule: long non-coding RNA, 872 nt
Organism: Poecilia latipinna (sailfin molly)
Lineage: Eukaryota; Metazoa; Chordata; Actinopteri; Cyprinodontiformes; Poeciliidae
Exons: 3
Source: RefSeq, a predicted model, not a curated record
AGUUGUUUUAACUUUUUAUCAAACUUCAUUUAGUCAAACCUCCAGGAGUUGAAUAAGCUAGUUUUUAGGUUAGCACUUAAAAAACUGAAAGAAGAAAAAGACAGGCGUAGGAACUAUUUCCCAGAAUGCUUAGAGGCAUGUUUUUGUGUCCUGAGAUCGAAGUGCAUUACAUUGAUCUGACUCUUGUGUUUUAUUAAGACAAAUGUUUAUUUUAAUGUCGUGUUCACACUAAAUGUUUCUGAGCUGAAUUCAUUGGGAUGUUUAUUAAGAUUAAUUAUUAGAUCAGAAAUUUUUGUUCAUGCAAUUUGAAACAAGAAUUUAAAUUAUUCUGAAGUAAAAUAAGUUAUUUUAACUUGAUAUUGUGAGUAAAAAAUAAUAGGGAACUGUGGCUCUUUAACUAGGUGAUGACAGUUUAUUUUCAGGCAUAUUGUGAAAUAAAUAUUUGCAACAUUAAGUUAAAACUCAUAAUUCAAGAUUAAUGAACUUUAAAAAUGAUGUUUAGACAACUUGUCUCUCGUUAAAUCAACUGUCUUGCUGACUUAAGACAUUCUGUUUCUGAACUGGCUUUCCCCGUGUGGCCUUGGAAGGGCUGCAUAUUUCUAAUCUCCUUGAAGAUAUGUAAACAUAACGCUCCUUCCCACCUAACCCCCUCCUGUAUCCAUGCAGCUGUGAAGCUGAACGCUCCCAAGGACAUUCCUGGAUAAACAACACCUUUAUCGGACUUCUGCCAGGAGGCUCAGCCACCUGGUUUCAUGGCCCUGUGAUGUCACUGCCUUCACUCAUAUCUUUGUUUUGCCCAUUGUUUUGUCUGAAUGUUGCCAUUUGCCCUAAUGUGUCCUUUCCUCUUUUCUGUUUUAGUUUGUUAGAAACGG